CUGAGCUGAAGUCGGGUGCUCAACUGACUGAGCCACCCAGGUGCCCCUUGAAUUAUUUUUAACAUUUUAAACCAUUUUACUGAAGUAAAGGAAAGUAAUAAAGAAAUAAAGUUGGAAGUAUCCCUAGGAAUUCCUCCUACUAUUAUUUGGUUACAUCCUCAUUAAUGGAAUAAGCAUCCAGUUACAACUACAGGGAAAUAGAUUCUACGUCUUUCACAAGUCACUUAAAUAAUCUCCACAGAUAUAAGCAUUUAUUUCACUUCACCCAACUGUGCUAUGCUAUAGCUGAAAUCUCUUACAUCUUUUAAUCAAAUCUUAAUAGGGACUGAGUAUAUUGGUUUGGAUCCUUUGUAACAAGAUCAUUAUAUCUGUUUGUUACUACUACCAGUCUUCCCUCAUGCAAAAGAACACCAGUGCUCACUGGACAAUGCUUAAUUGUAAUGUCCACUUCUAACCAUCUCACUUUGAGAAUGACACACACAGGAGUAUCCUUUCCACAAAUGAAGAAACUAAGCCACCACAGUAGGUCCAUUUACACCAGCCAACCUUGCAAAUCUCUUCAAAGAACAAAAAAUUGUGUCUUUAGUAUCUAAGCAGAUCAACCCAUACAUUAGCAGCCCCUGAGAAUCUCAGACUAUGGAAUAAUAAACAAGUCUCCCUGCUGACUGCUUUCUCUAUGAGGUAACUUGUAGAAGGAAUGUGUAGAAGUUAUAGAAGGAGCAAUGGUAGAGGUAGACUAUGGAAUUCUGUUAGUGCUGGUGUGUUUUAAAACUAUUGCAAGGCCAAACUGCUACAGAAUUUGUUCCCAGACUAUCAUCUGUGGAAAAGCUUCUAUUUGUGUAGUCGUGUUUCAGGGCAAUCAAGAGACACUCUUGAACCAUUAUGCAGUAUAUUCUUUUCUUAACAUGGAAGGAUCUUAACUAUGAAGAUUUCAAAAUCAAUUUGUUAAAAGUUCCGUCAUGUUAUUUUCUUAGACUCUAGGCAACAGAAACAGAAAAUAUAUUGAUUGAACUAAAAAAAAAAAAAAACAAAACGAGAAAAACCCCCCAAAAAUACAAAAAAUUCAGAGGAAUAGCCCAUAUCCUAUCACAUAUUUAAAUAAUUCAAGAAAAAGUCUUGAUGCUGCCUUUCUUUCCCCUUUAUACCAAUGCCCCAUGGUACUCGUUCUCAUUUGUUUCUCAAGAUUAUGAUUAUUGCUAUGUUUUGAAAAGUAUAAUUACCCUAUAUUUGUACCCAGAAUUCCUAAUAGAGAUUUUGAAAGCACCAGCAUGGUAAUGGAGAGUGAGGUAAGAGAACAAGGGGAUGGGUCCUGUGUGAAAAAUGGAGGCAGGAGGUCCUGAGCAUUGUUCUUCCCCCUCAAACUAGCAGGUAUGUCUCAAAUGUGCUCUAACCUUGUUGGGUAUCAUAUGUGGUGUGGUUUGCAGAGGAAAAGCCAAUGAAGCCCCACCAGAAAAUCCAUCUCUAUCCAUGAAAGCCUUUUUCCAGAGAAGGUAUUUCUCCUUAGUUAAAAUAGGAUCUGGAUCAAAGGAGCAGAAUGUGAAGACUUGGUGGUGUAAUUCUUGCUGUUCUAAUAAGCCAUGUGAUUGCCCAGCUCAUUCCAUCAAGCUGUGUGUCUGCUUCUUCUUCUUACAUAUGUCUCUGAGACGUGACCGUGAGAUCUUCUCCUGAAGCACUUACAUGGUUGUAGCAGCGAAGGUCAGAGUGCUUAGAGACUGAGGGAUUUCAUGUGCCUAGAAAUAUAGAACCAUCUCCAUGCUCUUGUUUCUGUGAUAACGAGACAAACAAGAUGGCAGAUUCAGGAUUCCUGUCCAUUGUGUGUGUGUGUUGGGGGGAGGGUUUGGUGUGGGAAUGAGGUGGAGGGUGGAGUGAAGGCAAGGAAUGGGUAGAGGAAGGAGACUUAAGGAGGAGGAGGAGGCACUGGGAAGUAAGCCUAGGGCUGGUAUCUGGGGAAAGGAGAACCAAUACCUCUUUUGUUGUCAGGAAAGCCCUGGGCACAAAGGGUGAGUUUGAGUUUCACUUCAGGUCAGUCCAGGGCAUUGUGAAAAGGCAGCUCUCAGACAGUGAGCUUAACUGACUGACUCUGAGGUAAUUAAAUCACUACAUUAGGCUGCUGACCAUGAAAGCAGAAAAAUACAAGCACACAAAAAAUAAAGAAGAAAAAAAAGCCCUUACAUUUGUUUCUAAUUAUAUAAUUAAAAUGUUUACUGUUCCAUGUAAUAAUUAUGUGGCUCAUAUUUGAUCAUGAUGGAGUUUCUCUAAUUAGUUAAAAGUUUUACCCAUUCUUCUUGUGGGACAAAAUUUGGUUUUAUUUAGUCAUUUUUCAUUCAGGCAUGUAAGGCUUCCAUGCCAUCUGACUUUGUUUUAUUCUGGCUGGGGUCUUGGCAAAUUCUGUGGUAAUUUUCAGUUUUAUUUCCUCUCUUCAGUGAUGUCUGUAAUUUUGGACAGCCAGUUACCUGAGGAAAGGAUUGUUUCUUAGUCCUCCAUUUGCUUUCCUAAUGUAAAUUUUAUUUCUCAGACUCCAUGAUGCAUGGUAGGUGUCAAACCAGAACGGUCAUUCUGCAGCGCUGAGAAGGUCCCCUACAGAGGACUUGGUGGCCUCCACAGUUCCAUUGUGACUGGCUCAUUUUUCCUCUUUUAACCGCUAUUACCUUGAGCUUCCUGUAGCUUUAGAUCUUGAUUAUUCAGGGGCUGAUUCAUUACAUCGCAAAUUAUCUAGGCACUUUAUUUCUCUUCCUCCUCAUCUCCUAUCUCCUUUUUAUUUUUUAUUUAUCUCUUUGUGUUUUGCCAUUUUACAGAUGACCGCCAACAGUCAUCAGAAUAAUGCAUGUGGAAAGAAAAAUGACAAAAGGAAAAGCAGUUACAUAUUGUUCUUGUUCAUUGUUCUGGCUAAUGGUGGUAGCAGAGAAGACGCUGAAGUUUAGGACUAAAAUUAGAUUUUACUUUUAGUUAUGUAAUUCAAUGAUCUAUUUAUUGUCUGUUACUUCAAAUAAGUAGUUUGGUGGGAUAAGUGGGUUUAUAGCGGUAUUGAGAAUCAUUAUUAAUCUAAUACAGGACAAAGAUGGAUUUCUUUCUAUAAGACAAGCACCACACUGAUAAUCUGUAAUGAGGUGUCCAGAGAGGAAAACGAAAACAGCUCGAGCCGGGAAUACAAUUGGCUAGUCAGUCAUAAAACGUACCAGUUCUCUUGGGAGAAGGGCGUUGUGUCACUUCCGGGAGCCCGAAAAGUCUGUCCAAUCAGAGAGAGCUCAGACCAUAGAGGUGGGCCAGCCGGCCAUGCCACUGCAUUCUGGGAGUUGGGUGGGGCCACGUGGAGGGGCAGCAAGAUGGCGGACAGGUUCAGGUAGCUGUUGGAUGAGUUGGAGAAACAGUUGGGGUUUUCGUUCUAGUGUACACCUUCCAUUUAUCCUGGCUCUAUGGAUCAAAUAUGAGUUCUGAAUCGAAGACAAACGCUGAAACUGGCCACCAAAAAUGUUUUCCUUCAAAGUGUGUCCAAAACAGCAGCUCAAUUUUGGCACGUUUCUGGAUCCCAUAGGCAGGACCUCCGAGCUUUCCUGAUCCAGGUAAUGAUGUUAUAUAAUGGAAAGAGAUUGAAGUUUAUACUGGAUCUGGAUUUCAGUUCUAUGCUAUACCCCAGAAAAAUUAAAUUAGAAUCUUUGGGGUUGGACUCCAACAUCACCAGUAUUUUUUGAAGGUUGUGCCUGCCAAAUGUGCUGUCAAGGUUGAGAACUACUAUGUUAGGCUCAGUGCCCCAGAAUGCGAUUGUACUUGGAGAUAAGGCAUUUACAGAGAUAACUGAGAUAAAAUGAAGUCUUAUGAGUGGGUCCUAAACCAAUAUGACUGAAAUUCUUAUAAUAAGAGAAGACUAAGACACAGACAUGCACAGAGGAGAGACUAUAUAAAGACACAGAGAGAAGUUGGACAUCUAGAAGCCAACACAUCAGAAUGUAAUUAGCCCUGCUAAGACCUCGAUCUUGGACUUUUCACCUCUAGAACUAGCAACAGACCCUUGACCAUAAACUCCAGUCUGUGUGCAGAUCUAGGUUCUGUCUUACACUUGAGGAGCCAUCUGCCUGAAGCUUAGAACUCUGGGGUGACCCUGUGGCCCUUUGGUAUCCUGGUUGGAGCCCAGCUGCAACUUAACUUCUUGAAGAUCUGUUUUAUACAAAACCAGUGUGUGUACUGGCACAAGGCUUGGUAUUUACUUGGUAUUUACCAAAACGUAAAAUUCCACAUGCAGAUUGAGACACCUGGCUCUGCAGCAUCCAGGCUCAUUUACAAUACAAUUGUGCCUUCUACCAAGGUUGGCAUUGCUGGUGCAGCAACAUUCGUGUUCAUUGUUUUGAUUUGUCAUAAUGUCUGGCUGAAGAAGAAUGAGGUAAGAGAAUGACAAUUGAAGCUUGAACCCACUGCUUUUGAAACACAGAUUUGAGAAGAUGGCCUGGUCUCUGGCACAUGAAACUAGGCCUCUGAAGAGAAGUUUCAUCUAUGAAAAAUUCACCCAACACAUAAAAUAUAACCCAUAUUAUUUAAAUCUCCCUUAAUCAAGUAUAAUAAAUACUCUACAAAAUUAGAGCAUGAUGAAAUUCAAGGUUGAAAAGUAAUGCAUUUGGUCACUUUUCAUUUUCUAUCCCAUUAUGGUGACUAUUGUGGAUGGGAGAAUAUUAAUUCCUCAGGUAAGUUGUAAAGGUUUUAAAAUUCAUAGCCUUGUUUUGUAAGCUCGCUGAAUAGGAAGAAGUCUGUAGUUGUUUAGAACCUUAAUUAUCUCUUUUUACUGACAAAAUCUAAGCAAGUUACUACCUCCAAAUCCCUAGGAAUGAACAGUUGGUCUUUUGACUCUCCCUGCCAAUAUAAGUGACUUUAAAUCUUUGCCAGCACAGGUUAAGAGAUCAACUCUUCUCUCAGAGCUCACUGAAGUCAAACUGCUCUGACUCGCAGAAGGGGUUUGAUUCUGCUCUCCCUUUUCGUUCAUUCUCUUCUACUUUUCCCCAAGCAUCCUACUCUAGAUAAAAUACACAAGCUUAUAGUGAGGCAAAUUCAUUGUGUGCUGCCUCAACGAUCCUCACUCCCUGCCCUGCCCCCACACAAAAGCUAGAGUCUAAUCAUAAUGAACUGCGCCUGCUUUCCUGGAGACACUCAGGGGUGGACACUCAAGGUUAUUUUGGGACUGGUGGCUCUAAACCUCUCCUUCUAACCACUUCUCUCCUUCCUUGGUGAUGGAAGCUGUUGUGACCUCUCACCUUGGGGAAAGGUUAAGCCUGGUUGCCCAGAGAUUUCCAAACAGGAAUAAUACUAGGAUUCUCUUCAGUGGCGUAUGGGAGGUAGGGAGUAAGCAUUAACACUACCAUUGUUUAGGAUUGCCAGCUCACCAUGAUAAUAAAGUGCAUACUGACUUUUAGUUGUUUUUUUUAAGCAAUUUUUUAAGUUUAUUUAUUUAUUCAGUGAGGAGCCUGACAUGGGGCUCUAUCCCACCAGCUGUGAGAUCAUAACCUGAGUCGGAAGCUUAACCGACUAAGCCACCCAGGCGCCCCCUUUUAGUUGGUUUUUAUUACUGUUUGAAAUUUUCUACAGAUGGUGCACCCACUUGUUGCUUGUACUAGGGAAAACUACUCUUUAACCCUCCCUUCAGAAAGCUACCGUUUUCUCCCAUCUGUGUCCAGAAGCACACCCUGCUCUCACCUUUCCAGCAAAUGGAGGGAGACUCAGACAUGACCCUAAAGUGUAAGUUCUGAAAGACAGGAGAUAGUCUGAUUCCCUCUUGGAUCUGGAACAGGUAACACAAAUGAUUGGCUCUAAUCUGUGUUUAGGAAGUUAUUGCUAAAUAAAUAGAGAAAUGAAUUAGUUUUUAUUUCACCGAAAGAAAUGACCACUUUUCUGUUCUCUUCAUGCUAAGAGAUGAUCCCACGAAAUAGAUUUCACUGCACUUAACUGAAAAAUACCUCUCAGGAGUGAUAAUUUCCAUUUAUCAAGGGCAGUUUUCCAGGUAAAGGGGUACCUGUGAGCCAUUAGCAGAUCAACUCACACUAGCUGUGGGAUAAGUGCACUGGCCUGGAAAAAAGGGAUACUGCCAGGGCACCAACAGCAUCUAUGAUACUCUAUCCCUUACACCACUCAUAUCCAGUUGUUUCCCACAUGAAAUUCACUCCAUCCUGGAAAAGAUUUUCCAAGCUCUUUGGUUAUGAUGUUUAGAGGUGGUGGUUAGCAGCUGACUUACAUCAAUGGCUGAGUCAUUCUGUCCACAGUCAUUUCAUGACUAAUGAAUUAAAUGGAGCUGAUGAAGACCAUGAUCCAUUUACCUUUUAAGUCUUUGAGGAUGGUACCAAUCUCUGCCUUUCCAUCUGGAAUAUAAUAUUGUUUUUGAUGUAUUACCUUAGAAAUUGCAGGGGGUAUUCAUUUUGGUUUUUCCCACUGUAACAGCUCUUUAUCUACAAAUCAUUGUGAGGGUUUUCACAAACGUUAAGUACACGUAUGCUGAUUAUAAAUUUAGCAAGCCAGGAAAUAACCGCAGGGUAGAUUCAUGGACCCUGUGCACCCACUAUGAGAUGGACCCAGCCUAGAACUCUGGACCCAGAUAUGGCUCUUCUCUAACAGGAGGAUCCAUGAUGGUACUCUGUGCCCUUAGGUAUCAUAGUCAACUCAGAUUCCUGAAUCAACAGCCCACUUUCCCCAGUGUAUCUUUAUUUCAGUAAAUGGCCAUUGGCCCCAUUGUAGAAGGAGGGAAACACUACUUUAUACAGUUUCCAUGGUGUUGCAAGUUAGGAAGCAAUAGGUUAUGGGUCUAAGAACUAGCUAAAGUCUGUAAACUGAUGAAGGGAUCAUGAUUUUCCACUGAGUGGGUAGACCUUAGUGUUCUGUUCAUCUAUUCAUGAUAUAUCUUGAUUGCUGAUAUACAUUAAGCAAGACCCCUAUUGACUUGUCCAUCAAUCUCAUUCUGGGAACACCAUUUUCCAUUAGGUAGCUCCAUGGGUCUCUUUGAACACAGCCUGUUAGUCCGUCUGCUGUGCACUUUGAUAAUCAUGCCCACCUUGCUUCUGGCCAUCUGGCCUGUGCUAUUCUGAGGUCCUAUCAUCCCCAUUGCUAUCAAGGAGCACAGUGCUAUAGGAGGAUCUCCUAUCCUUUUAAUCCUCACCUACAUGGGACAGCCACUGCAGCUUCUCGACAAUGCUGGUGCCCCUCUCAUCCAGGAGGGGAGGCUGCAAUAUUGUGAAAGGAAAUUCACCAGGGAAGAAGGCAGCCUUGAACCUCCAGCAGCCCAAACUCACAGCAGCUGUAAGCUGGAUACAACAGGCUGAAGAAGGGAAUCUUGACAGGGCAGCAAUGGCAUCCACUUCAAGGUCUUUCCUUUCUGCCCCAGAUCCCUACUACAUGGGUUUGCCUUAGUCCUUACAAAUAAUGACAUUAUCUGUUCACAUGACUAUUCCUGACCAUAAAGGCUUUCUUUAUGGUGUAACUUAGUUUAAUCUCACUACUGAGGUGUUUUCUCAGUGGAGUUUAUAAGGUUUUUCUGAAUCCUGCAUGAAUAAUGACUUUGACCAACUUAUCUUUGUUUUCCCUGCUAUAAAAAUUUUGCAAAUAUAAUUUUUCAAUCCAUAUGACUCAUGCCAAAUGACUACUAAUUUUCUUCCUGAUUAUAAAGCAGCCAUAAUUCUUGUAGUAAAUUUGAAAAGUAAAGAAAAACAUAAUGAAAAAAUAAUCUUAUCUGACUAUCUGAAUAUAACCAUCGUUAACAAUUACAUUUACUCCAGAGCACCUGGGUGGCUCAGUUGACUAAGUAUCCAGCUCUUGAUUUAGGCUCAGGUCAUGAUCUCACGGUUUGUGAAAUAUAUCUCCCUGUGGGGCUCUGUGCUGACAGCAUGGAGCCUGCUUGGGAUUCUCUCUCUCCCUUUAUCUCUGUCCCUCCCUCACUCUUUCUCUUUCUCUCAAGAUAAAUAAACUUAAAAAAAUUGCUUUAAAAAUAAACAACUAAAAGUCAGUAUGCACUUUAUUAUCAUGGUGAGCUGGCAGUCCAAAACAAUGGUAGUAUUAAUGCUCACUCCCUAUCCUGCCAUGUUCCACUGAAGACAAUCCCAAUAUUAUUUCUCUUUGGAAAUCUCUGGACAACCAGGCUUAGCCUUUUCCCAAGGUGAGCAGGUGCGGGCACAGGCUCUCUCCCUCUCUCUCUAAAAGAAAAGAAAAAAAUUGCAUUUACUCCCAAAUAUUCCUGUGUGUGUGUGUGUGUGUGUGUGUGUGUGUAGGUACAUAUAUAUCCUAUUUUUAUCUUAAUGUGACUUUAUGUGACCUUUAUCAUGCCAUUAAAAGUAAUAUUUGUAAGACUCUUUUUAACAACUACAUGAUAUAUUGUCAUAUGAUUGUACUUUUAUUAAUGUAAUUAAUUUAUUUGAACACUCUCCUAAUUUUGGACAUUUAGAUCUUUCUUAAUGUUUCAACUAUUAUUAUAAAUAACAUUGCAGUGGGCGUAUUUUUUAAAUAAUUGAAGUAUACUUGACAUACAAUGUUAUAUUAGUUUCAGGUGUACAACAUAAUAAUUCAACAAUUCUAUACAUUAGGCAAUGGUGAACACAUUGUUUUUGUCUGCCCUUCUAGUCACUUAAUUCAUACAGUAUUCCUUUAGCUGACAGGUAUUCACUCAGUCCCCAUUACAAGCCAGAGGCACUGUGCAUUCAGCUAAGCACACAGCAAAAGACCAGGCAGGCACCCUCUGCCCUCCCUGCUGCCAUGGAGGUCAGGAUCUGCUGGGGAAAUAAAUCUGGGAAGUACAGCAGGUCCAGGGGUGAUGAUAACUACAAGGGGAAGUGCAGUGGGUCUUGUGUCUUUGUGAGCUUGGGUGAUGAUGACAAAAUAUUACAGACUGGUGGCCUAAACAACAGAAAUUUAUUUUCUCACAGUCUGGAGAGUGGAAAUCUGAGAUCAGGGUGCCAGCACGGUCAGGGUCUGGGAAAGGUUCUCUCCCUGGAUUUCGAUGGCCACCUUUCUGUGCAGUGCUCGUGUGGCAGGUGUGCCGAUAGAGAGAUGUCUUUUUCUCUUUAUAUAAGGCCACUAAUUAUGUUGGAUUAGGAACACUCUUACGACCUCAUUUAACCUAAUUGUCUCCUAAAAGCCUUAUCUUCAAAUACAGUCCCAUUGGGGGUUAAGGCUUCAACAUAUAAGUUGGGAGGGGCAGACAUCAGUCCAUAGCACCUUGGGAGCAUUUCAGGAGAGAGUCUAGUUGAAUAUUUUUUUCAAAUGUUUAAAAAAAUUGGAGUUCUGGUAAUUUGCUUUUUAAUUUGGAUGUACCCUUUUAGGCUUGCCAGAUUUAGCAAAUAAAAACAGAGAAUGCUAAAAAAAAUAAGAUAAAAUAAAAAAUAAGAUAAAAAUACAGAAUGUUCAGUUAUAUUUGAAUUUCAGAUAAACAGCAAAAAAUUGUUAGUAUAAGAGUGUCUCUUACAAUAUUUGGUGUUCUUGGGGUAUCUGGGUGGCUCAGUAAAUAUCUGACUUCGGCUCAGAUCAUGACCUCACCGUUUGUGAGUUCAAAUUCUGCAUGGAGUGAGCUCAAGCUCUGCUUGGGUGAGCACGGGCCCCGCUUUAGGUAAGCCUUGCUUGUCUCUCUCUCUCUCUCUCUCUCUCUCUCUGCCCCCCCCCCCACCUCACUUGCGCCCUGUCUCUCUCUCAAAAAAAAAAUUCUUAAAUGCGUUCUGUUUUUUUCUCUGGCAGUCCUUUUCAUGCUUCAAUGUGGUCAAUGCUACUUUUUUAUUCGUGUAAGGGAUCAUAUCCUAUGAAUUUGUCAUUCUGCAGGACACCAACUUAAAUGUUUGUGUGUUGAAUUAAUAUAAGGGCAGUGAGAUUAAGUGUUUUUAAAGUGUCCAGGUAAAACUGAUUGCUACAUUUGUCUGACAUUUCUGUGGGAAGACACUUCAAAGAAAAGAUAGUCUCCUAUUUUUUGCCAAAUUUGUAAGCCUCUGUUAUUAUCUGACUAAAAUUUGUAUUAUUUACACUACAUCUGUUUCUAAAGCAUCAAGACAUAUAUACUUUUCUUCACUUUAAAAUAAAAUUUUAAACAGAAGGAGGCUUGUUUAAGAAAAAGUAUUCUCACUUCCUCAGUAAUUCUUCAUGGAACCCCCAUUAUGAAGUGAACAUUUAACUUCCUUUGACAAGUCCCUACUCCUGGAAAACUACUUUUUAUAAAUACUCAGAACAAUGUGGCAAUGGUGUAGGGCUUUCAGAAGACGUGUGGCUGUACCUCUUCACAUUAAUCCUUUGUCCUGAGGCUGCCAUUCACUGUAUUUUAGGCAAGGUAGCUCUUAUCUCAAGAGUAGGGUUUCAACUGCUAGCAUACUUUCUGACUCUCGAUCACUUUCUCUGCCUUAAAGGCUUUAUAACUGUUCCUUGAAAAACACUCAAGCCAAGAAGGUGGCACAAUUAGCAUUUGCCUCAAUACUCUCACAGAGGCUCUACCCAAGAUAAUUUUACACUCAGCCACAGACACAUUAUACGAUUUUUUUUCAAGGGAUUACCAAUUGGAAAUGAGAGCUGAAAUGUAUCCUAUACAGUACAAUUGUACAUACAAAGUGCUAACGUCUUAAGAGACACAAUGUCACCCUAUCUAUGGAAUCUAGCUGCCCAACGAAAUAUUCAGCAAAUAUUUAUUACAUGGCAGUAUCUGAUUUGAAUGUUGAUGUCCUCUGAAUUUCUUUACUGGUCUCCAAACUCCUUUUCAGAUUUCCUAAGAGAGCUUUUCUUUCUCUUCUCACCUCUAAGUCCAUAAACACAGCGCAUUGUCUCGCUUAUCAUCGCUAAAGAAGCAAGGUCUACUUGAAUGACCCAAGCUCCCAGCUAGUAAAUGCUCAGUUGUAAACUGUUGGGGAUGGAGAACAUAAGAACCUAAAAUUAUGUUUGGCUCUUAGUUGGAUUUCGAUUUAAUCGUUUCGAGCAAUGGGAAGCUGUGAAUUAAAACUAUUCUUGUGAAGGGUUGGAGGGAAUACUUUAGUUUUCUGUAUGCAAAGGAGGUAUUUUUUUUAGAAGUCUGAAUUACAAAUGUUUUAAUACAGAGUUUUAAGUAACAGCUGUUUUGCAUGCACUCUUCUUGACUGGUAGUGACUUCCAACAUCUACAGUCCCUUUCAAGAUCUAAGCUUCAUGGGGAUAGUAAGUUUUGCUUAUUUUGCUUAUUUCUUUAUUUCUAAUGCUGGGAGCAGUAUCUAGUGCAUGGUAUAUUCUCUUUAAAUAUUUGUUAAAUGUAUGAAUAAAUAAAAUACAAGCAAAAAAUGUACUUGAUUUCACUUCCCAGUGUAUAAUCAUGAACAAAUGUUUGGUGAAGUAAGAGGGAUACUCAUAAUUAGCACUAAUUUCGUUCCUACUGUCGAGGUGGGUGUUCAUCGGGUGUUCAUACCAACUCGUUCUAAUUGAUGUUUUCAGAACUCCCCUUGCCAAACAUUAGUGACUUUUGUCCUGCCAUGUUUACAUACCUGAAACCAAGCACAGGCACUUUUUGAAGUUAAUUAAAGAUUCACUUAUGUUAAACAUUUCCGGAUGAUAGCAAGAGACCAACUUGGCAGACAAUAGAAAUAAUCUCUAGUGCUUCCUUCUGUGAUUUUUCUCAGACAGGUCUUGAAGGGUCUGGUCCUAAUGGGAUUGAUAGAAGCGAGAUGGGGCGAUUGGGAGAUGCUGUGAGACUUAGGUUGCCUACAGCAGGAGAAUGCAGGUGAAUUCACAAAGAUCACCAACGUCAUCCUCUGCAUAGCCGAGUGCUCAUUAUCCAGGACAAAUAUAAAAUCCCCUUGCUGGCUUCGGCCUGCCAGCCAGUGCCUUUCUGAAGCCAACAGUCCAUUCAGUCCAAGAGACAACUUGGUGUUUGCUGCUAUAUGAUCAUGAACAGAAGGAUCCGCUUUCUGCUUGGAUGUUGGUGGGGCAUGUAAUCCUGGUCACAGCUACAAUAGCUUUUACUUUUCAACCCCUCACUGUUUGUAGAAGAUGGGAUUUAGUAUUUUGUUCGGGUAUCAGAGGUAACAUAAACUUUGAACUUACUUUUAAAAAGUGCGAGAUUGGGGCACCUGGGUGGCGCAGUUGGUUAAGCGUCCGACUUCAGCCAGGUCACGAUCUCGCAGUCCGUGAGUUCGAGCCCCGCGUCA
Molecule: long non-coding RNA, 12100 nt
Organism: Felis catus (domestic cat)
Lineage: Eukaryota; Metazoa; Chordata; Mammalia; Carnivora; Felidae
Exons: 10
Source: RefSeq, a predicted model, not a curated record